This 253-nucleotide ribosomal RNA is filed under the name uncultured bacterium. Its description in RNAcentral is "partial 16S ribosomal RNA". It matches the Rfam family "Bacterial small subunit ribosomal RNA", at positions 524 to 776 of the family's 1533-position model. The record is from RNAcentral.
UACGUAGGGUGCAAGCGUUGUUCGGAAUUACUGGGCGUAAAGGGCCAGUAGGCGGCCAACUAAGUCGGAUGUGAAAUCCCCAGGCUUAACCUGGGAACUGCAUCCGAUACUGGAUGGCUUGAAUUCGGGAGAGGGAUGCAGAAUUCCAGGUGUAGCGGUGAAAUGCGUAGAUAUCUGGAGGAAUACCGGUGGCGAAGGCGGCAUCCUGGACCGACAUUGACGCUGAACGGCGAAAGCUAGGGGAGCAAACGGG